GCGAUGGUUGAUUUUCCAUGCUCGUCGAUAUUGUAAAGACAAGACGAAAUAAUAAUGUGUACAAGGUGAAGGAUAAACGCAGUGAACGAUCCAGAGAAUUUCAGUACCCCUACUGGUCGGUGAUAAAAUUGUUUUACGACAAUGUGCUAAUGAAACAGAUACGAAAGAAUCCGAGGUUAUAUUUUCGGUGAGCCUCCAGAAUUCAUAAUUCAAGACGGGUACGAAAUGAUCCUUCAGAUUGUCUGGGAUUUUGGAAAUGGCAUAAGUCAGAAAUUUUGGAUAAACUGUGUUCACUUUGGAAACUCCGAUACUUACGGAGAAGCGAAAACAGCCGUGACCAAAAUUUUCAAAAACUCGCCAAUUUCCGACGGUCAAUACGGUUCGGCCAAUUUACACAUCGAAGUCAAUUAAAGUUUGAGUUUCAUAAUUCGUACGGUAAAAUAAAUCCACCAUUACCCCGGUUGCCCCAUCGUGGUUACACCCUUGUCUUUGACAAAACUCUGCAGUUGUGUUUAUCGGUUCCUAAUUCCUUGUCAGCUGGAAAACCACAGGAAUACGUAGAAUUCGGCACCAACAAACAUAUGUGUGAACAGAAUCCGUGGAUGCAGGGAUUUGGAAUCUGGAAAUAACAGUUUACAUAGUUUCGCGUUCCUUGUAAAUUUGAUUAUACCGAGGGUACAAUACUUACAUCGGGUCUCAGAGUUGAGUGAUAAAUGUGUAUCCCGUAGAUGGAUUCAUUUUCUAUUGCAACAAUAGCUUGUUCAUUUCCCGUGAAUUUGUUGCAAGAUCGAACGCUCUUAGUUCUUCAGUCGCUCCAGUGAUAUUUUUUCUCGAAAACCGCUACCGAGUAGGGCUAUUUCGUCAUUGCGCGCAAGAUGAUUUAUAGAUCUUUGAUCGCAAGAUCCGUGAAUGCUGCAUUCAUCGAUAUCUGGAAUGAUUUUUGUUCGUGAGAGUAGGCAACUCACAUGAGUGACGAAAAACUAUCGCCUUAACUAACUAUCUUCUAACUUAGGUCUUCAAUAAUGGAAUGCGUUGCAAGCAAAUGUAUACAAAUAUUUUAACAAUAACUUUUUUCGAAUUAUUAUUGAAUUCUCAGCAUCUUUGCAAAAAGAAAACGUUGUCUUACAAUUAUUCCUCUUCCUAUAUGGCCGAGGGCUGGGGUCAAAGGUGGUCCUCGAUUACUGUGGAGUGAAAUCAGUUGUAAGGCAGAUUACCGUUCAUUUAAAACGAGUUUUAUCGACCGUGCAGCUGAACUUGCACUUUGUAUUGGACCAUCUAUGUAAUAUACGUGAAUUCGGAGCUUGAUAACCAGUUUUGAGUAUGAGGUAGUGAACUUUCAAAUUAGUACUUAGGUUCGACCUGCAGUCAUUGCUCAUCAAUUACUGUAUCGAUAGCGUGAAAUGUUUAGAACUUUGAACUCGGGGUUCCCAUUUAUUUCGGAUGACACAUUUCUUUACACAUUGGAAAAUUGUUUAAAUUUAAUAAGCGUCUACUUACCGCCUGAAAGUAAUUAGUAAACGGCGAUGACGGGAGGAGGAGCAAUACUGAACAAACAAAUCAGGAACUGUUCAAGUAUUGACUGGUUAGCGAGGUGCACGGUACUGUUCAUUAUUUAAGUCCCCAGUUCGAAGAAGGGAGCGGAUAAGCGACCUUGAAUGUUUUCGUAAGUUUGGUUGGAAAAGGGGAAAGCUACCAAACCGAUGAAAACAUUAACGGUUGCGUCGAACAAUUCGCAACUAUUUGCCUGUUAAAUAUGUGUUAGGUCAGAUUUCUACUCAACCGAAUCACGUAAGUAUACAAUUUUCUCAUCAUCUAUGUACAUAACGCUUCAAAUAACAUAAGUAAGAUGGAAAUAAUACAUGCCAUGGCAGAAUCGGUCGAAUCGACAACUCGCAUAAUUAUCUGCGAUGGUGCUUUUAAAUGCUCGUC
This 1929-nucleotide long non-coding RNA is filed under the name Neodiprion lecontei (redheaded pine sawfly). Its description in RNAcentral is "uncharacterized LOC124292856". Lineage: Eukaryota; Metazoa; Arthropoda; Insecta; Hymenoptera; Diprionidae. The record is from RNAcentral.